Molecule: ribosomal RNA, 465 nt
Filed under: uncultured bacterium
Lineage: Bacteria
Description: partial 16S ribosomal RNA
Rfam family: Bacterial small subunit ribosomal RNA
Source: RNAcentral
CCUACGGGAGGCAGCAGUAGGGAAUCUUCCACAAUGGGCGAAAGCCUGAUGCAGCAACGCCGCGUGGGUGAAGAAGGUCUUCGGAUCGUAAAACCCUGUUGUUAGAGAAGAAAGUGCGUGAGAGUAACUGUUCACGUUUCGACGGUACCUAACCAGAAAGCCACGGCUAACUACGUGCCAGCAGCCGCGGUAAUACGGAGGUGGCAAGCGUUAGCCGGAUUUAUUGGGCGUAAAGGGAACGCAGGCGGUCUGUUAAGUCUGAGGUGAAAGCCUUCGGCUUAACCGGGGUAGUGCAUUGGAAACUGGGAGACUUGAGUGCAGAAGAGGAGAGUGGAACUCCAUGUGUAGCGGUGAAAUGCGUAGAUAUAUGGAAGAACACCAGUGGCGAAAGCGGCUCUCUGGUCUGUAACUGACGCUGAGGUUCGAAAGCGUGGGUAGCAAACAGGAUUAGAUACCCCUGUAGUC